AGAGUUUGAUCCUGGCUCAGAUGAACGCUGGCGGCAGGCCUAACACAUGCAAGUCGAGCGGAUGAGUGGAGCUUGCUCCAUGAUUCAGCGGCGGACGGGUGAGUAAUGCCUAGGAAUCUGCCUGGUAGUGGGGGACAACGUUUCGAAAGGAACGCUAAUACCGCAUACGUCUACGGGAGAAAGCAGGGGACCUUCGGGCCUUGCGCUAUCAGAUGAGCCUAGGUCGGAUUAGCUAGUUGGUGAGGUAACGGCUCACCAAGGCGACGAUCCGUAACUGGUCUGAGAGGAUGAUCAGUCACACUGGAACUGAGACACGGUCCAGACUCCUACGGGAGGCAGCAGUGGGGAAUAUUGGACAAUGGGCGAAAGCCUGAUCCAGCCAUGCCGCGUGUGUGAAGAAGGUCUUCGGAUUGUAAAGCACUUUAAGUUGGGAGGAAGGGCAGUAAGUUAAUACCUUGCUGUUUUGACGUUACCGACAGAAUAAGCACCGGCUAACCUCGUGCCAGCAGCCGCGGUAAUACGAAGGGUGCAAGCGUUAAUCGGAAUUACUGGGCGUAAAGCGCGCGUAGGUGGUUCAGCAAGUUGGAUGUGAAAGCCCCGGGCUCAACCUGGGAACUGCAUCCAAAACUACUGAGCUAGAGUACGGUAGAGGGUGGUGGAAUUUCCUGUGUAGCGGUGAAAUGCGUAGAUAUAGGAAGGA
Molecule: ribosomal RNA, 700 nt
Filed under: uncultured bacterium
Lineage: Bacteria
Description: bacterial SSU rRNA
Rfam family: Bacterial small subunit ribosomal RNA
Source: RNAcentral